GGUUAAGCGACUAAGCGUACACGGUGGAUGCCCUGGCAGUCAGAGGCGAUGAAGGACGUGCUAAUCUGCGAAAAGCGUCGGUAAGGUGAUAUGAACCGUUACAGCCGGCGAUGUCCGAAUGGGGAAACCCAGUGCAAUUCGUUGCACUAUCGUUAACUGAAUACAUAGGUUAACGAGGCGAACCGGGGGAACUGAAACAUCUAAGUACCCCGAGGAAAAGAAAUCAACCGAGAUUCCCCCAGUAGCGGCGAGCGAACGGGGAGCAGCCCAGAGUCUGAAUCAGCUUGUGUGUUAGUGGAACGGUCUGGAAAGUCCGACGGUACAGGGUGAUAGUCCCGUACACCAAAAUGCACAGGCUGUGAACUCGAAGAGUAGGGCGGGACACGUGGUAUCCUGUCUGAAUAUGGGGGGACCAUCCUCCAAGGCUAAAUACUCCUGACUGACCGAUAGUGAACCAGUACCGUGAGGGAAAGGCGAAAAGAACCCCGGCGAGGGGAGUGAAAAAGAACCUGAAACCGUGUACGUACAAGCAGUGGGAGCACCUUCGGGUGUGACUGCGUACCUUUUGUAUAAUGGGUCAGCGACUUAUAUUCUGUAGCAAGGUUAACCGUAUAGGGGAGCCGCAGGGAAACCGAGUCUUAACUGGGCGUUAAGUUGCAGGGUAUAGACCCGAAACCCGGUGAUCUAGCCAUGGGCAGGUUGAAGGUUGGGUAACACUAACUGGAGGACCGAACCGACUAAUGUUGAAAAAUUAGCGGAUGACUUGUGGCUGGGGGUGAAAGGCCAAUCAAACCGGGAGAUAGCUGGUUCUCCCCGAAAGCUAUUUAGGUAGCGCCUCGUGAAUUCAUCUUCGGGGGUAGAGCACUGUUUCGGCUAGGGGGUCAUCCCGACUUACCAACCCGAUGCAAACUACGAAUACCGAAGAAUGUUAUCACGGGAGACACACGGCGGGUGCUAACGUCCGUCGUGAAGAGGGAAACAACCCAGACCGCCAGCUAAGGUCCCAAAGUCAUGGUUAAGUGGGAAACGAUGUGGGAAGGCACAGACAGCCAGGAUGUUGGCUUAGAAGCAGCCAUCAUUUAAAGAAAGCGUAAUAGCUCACUGGUCGAGUCGGCCUGCGCGGAAGAUGUAACGGGGCUAAACCAUGCACCGAAGCUGCGGCAGCGACACUAUGUGUUGUUGGGUAGGGGAGCGUUCUGUAAGCCUGCGAAGGUGACCUGUGAGGGUUGCUGGAGGUAUCAGAAGUGCGAAUGCUGACAUAAGUAACGAUAAAGCGGGUGAAAAGCCCGCUCGCCGGAAGACCAAGGGUUCCUGUCCAACGUUAAUCGGGGCAGGGUGAGUCGACCCCUAAGGCGAGGCCGAAAGGCGUAGUCGAUGGGAAACAGGUUAAUAUUCCUGUACUUGGUGUUACUGCGAAGGGGGGACGGAGAAGGCUAUGUUAGCCGGGCGACGGUUGUCCCGGUUUAAGCAUGUAGGCUGGUUAUCCAGGCAAAUCCGGAUAAUCAAGGCUGAGGUGUGAUGACGAGGCACUACGGUGCUGAAGUAACAAAUGCCCUGCUUCCAGGAAAAGCCUCUAAGCAUCAGGUAACAUCAAAUCGUACCCCAAACCGACACAGGUGGUCAGGUAGAGAAUACCAAGGCGCUUGAGAGAACUCGGGUGAAGGAACUAGGCAAAAUGGUGCCGUAACUUCGGGAGAAGGCACGCUGGUGUGUAGGUGAAGUCCCUGCGGAUGGAGCUGAGACCAGUCGAAGAUACCAGCUGGCUGCAACUGUUUAUUAAAAACACAGCACUGUGCAAACACGAAAGUGGACGUAUACGGUGUGACGCCUGCCCGGUGCCGGAAGGUUAAUUGAUGGGGUUAUCCGUAAGGAGAAGCUCUUGAUCGAAGCCCCGGUAAACGGCGGCCGUAACUAUAACGGUCCUAAGGUAGCGAAAUUCCUUGUCGGGUAAGUUCCGACCUGCACGAAUGGCGUAAUGAUGGCCAGGCUGUCUCCACCCGAGACUCAGUGAAAUUGAACUCGCUGUGAAGAUGCAGUGUACCCGCGGCAAGACGGAAAGACCCCGUGAACCUUUACUAUAGCUUGACACUGAACAUUGAGCCUUGAUGUGUAGGAUA
Molecule: ribosomal RNA, 2117 nt
Filed under: Klebsiella pneumoniae
Lineage: Bacteria; Pseudomonadati; Pseudomonadota; Gammaproteobacteria; Enterobacterales; Enterobacteriaceae
Description: partial 23S ribosomal RNA
Rfam family: Bacterial large subunit ribosomal RNA
Source: RNAcentral